AACGAACGCUGGCGGCAUGCCUAACACAUGCAAGUCGAACGAGACCUUCGGGUCUAGUGGCGCACGGGUGCGUAACGCGUUGGAACCUGCCCUUAGGUUCGGAAUAACUCCCCGAAAGGGGUGCUAAUACCGGAUAAUGUCUUCGGUCCAAAGAUUUAUCGCCUUUGGAUGGUCCCGCGUUGGAUUAGCUAGUUGGUAGGGUAAAAGCCUACCAAGGCGACGAUCCAUAGCUGGUAUGAGAGGAUGAUCAGCGACACUGGGACUGAGACACGGCCCAGACUCCUACGGGAGGCAGCAGUGGGGAAUAUUGGACAAUGGGCGAAAGGCUGAACCAGCAAGGACGCGUGAGUGAUGAAGGCCUUAGGGUUGUAAAGCUAUUUUACCCGGGAUGAUAAUGACAGUACCGGGAGAAUAAGCACCGGCUAACUCCGUG
This 433-nucleotide ribosomal RNA is filed under the name uncultured bacterium. Its description in RNAcentral is "partial 16S ribosomal RNA". It matches the Rfam family "Bacterial small subunit ribosomal RNA", at positions 29 to 507 of the family's 1533-position model. The record is from RNAcentral.